AGUGAACGCUGGCGGUAGGCCUAACACAUGCAAGUCGAACGGCAGCACAGUAAGAGCUUGCUCUUACGGGUGGCGAGUGGCGGACGGGUGAGGAAUACAUCGGAAUCUACUUUUUCGUGGGGGAUAACGUAGGGAAACUUACGCUAAUACCGCAUACGACCUACGGGUGAAAGCAGGGGAUCUUCGGACCUUGCGCGAUUGAAUGAGCCGAUGUCGGAUUAGCUAGUUGGCGGGGUAAAGGCCCACCAAGGCGCCGAUCCGUAGCUGGUCUGAGAGGAUGAUCAGCCACACUGGAACUGAGACACGGUCCAGACUCCUACGGGAGGCAGCAGUGGGGAAUAUUAGACAAUGGGCGCAAGCCUGAUCAAGCCAUACCGCGUGGGUGAAGAAGGCCUUCGGGUUGUAAAGCCCUUUUGUUGGGAAAGAAAAGCAGCAGGUUAAUACCCCGCUGUUCUGACGGUACCCAAAGAAUAAGCACCGGCUAACUUCGUG
Molecule: ribosomal RNA, 492 nt
Filed under: uncultured bacterium
Lineage: Bacteria
Description: partial 16S ribosomal RNA
Rfam family: Bacterial small subunit ribosomal RNA
Source: RNAcentral